UGGCGGACGGGUGAGUAAUGUCUGGGAAACUGCCCGAUGGGGGGGGAUAACUACUGGAAACGGUAGCUAAUACCGCAUAACGUCGCAAGACCAAAGAGGGGACCUUCGGGCCUCUUGCCAUCGGAUGUGCCCAGAUGGGAUUAGCUAGUAGGUGGGGUAACGGCUUACCUAGGCGACGAUCCCUAGCUGGUCUGAGAGGAUGACCAGCCACACUGGAACUGAGACACGGUCCAG
Molecule: ribosomal RNA, 234 nt
Filed under: uncultured bacterium
Lineage: Bacteria
Description: partial 16S ribosomal RNA
Rfam family: Bacterial small subunit ribosomal RNA
Source: RNAcentral